GCGAGGUCGGCGUGAUAGGCAUGCAGUCGACGUGAACCUUGCUUCGGUGAGGUGAAAGUGGCGAAAGGGUGAGUAAUGCAUAGCUAACCUACCCCCGACACCGGGAUAACCAGGAGAAAUCUUGGCUAAGACCGGAUAUGCUCGCUUGGGCGCAUGUUCGAGCGAGUAAAGGAGGCCUCUUAACAAUGCUUCUGGUUGGGGACGGAACUAUGUCCUAUCAGCUAGUUGGUAGGGUAAUGGCCUACCAAGGCGAUGACGGGUAGCCGACCUGAGAGGGUGACCGGCCACACUGGGACUGAGACACUGCCCAGACUCCUACGGGAGGCUGCAGUCGAGAAUCUUCCGCAAUGGGGGCAACCCUGACGGAGCAACGCCGCGUGCGGGAUGAAGGCCUUCGGGUUGUAAACCGCUGUCACACGUUAUGAAAGAAACGGGGUUAAAAGCUCUGGGUCUUGACAAAGGCGUGGGAGGAAGCCACGGCUAACUUCGUGCCAGCAGCCGCGGUAAGACGAAGGUGGCGACCGUUGUUCGGAAUCACUGGGCAUAAAGAGCUCGUAGGCGGUGAGAAAAGUCGGGUGUGAAAUCCCUCGGCCCAACCGAGGAACUGCGCUCGAAACUGUCUUGCUUGAGGACGGAAGGGGAGCAUGGAAUUCCUGGUGGAGCGGUGAAAUGCGUUGAUAUCAGGAGGAACACCGGCGGCGAAGGCGAUGCUCUGGUCCGUUUCUGACGCUGAGGAGCGAAAGCUAGGGGAGCAAACGGGAUUAGAUACCCCGGUAGUCCUAGCCGUAAACGAUGGGCACUAGGUAGGGGGGUACCCAAUGCCUCCCUGCUGGAGUUAACAUAUUAAGUGCCCCGCCUGGGGAGUAUAGUCGCAAGGCUGAAACUCAAAAGGAAUUGACGG
RNAcentral lists this ribosomal RNA (901 nucleotides) under uncultured Planctomycetota bacterium. RNAcentral's name for it is "bacterial SSU rRNA". It matches the Rfam family "Bacterial small subunit ribosomal RNA", at positions 33 to 916 of the family's 1533-position model. The record is from RNAcentral. Lineage: Bacteria; Pseudomonadati; Planctomycetota.